CGGGGAAUAGCUCAGCCUGGUAGAGCACUGCGUUCGGGACGCAGGNNGCAGGGGCCGGAGGUUCGAAUCCUCUUUCCCCGACCA
Molecule: transfer RNA, 84 nt
Filed under: Rhodocyclaceae bacterium
Lineage: Bacteria; Pseudomonadati; Pseudomonadota; Betaproteobacteria; Rhodocyclales; Rhodocyclaceae
Description: tRNA-Pro
Rfam family: tRNA
About the family: Transfer RNA (tRNA) molecules are approximately 80 nucleotides in length.
Source: RNAcentral